UGCCUCUAUUCCCCUCAGGUCUGCCCCUCUCCAAUUCCUCUCAAAAACAGCUCUUGUGGGCGACCUCUCCCUGGCACGAGAGAGGGUUGCCUGUGAGGGACGCCUCGGACCCAGAGGGCUUGUUCCGCCUUCCCCGGAGGGAGAGAGAAGAGCUUCCCGAGUCGUGCGUCCGACGUGGGGCUGCCAGGACUCGUGUGUGGAAAGUGCUGCUGGACCCUUUGCCGUGAGGGCGGCGGCGGCGGCGGCUUCAUUGCGGCUCCUCCCCUUCAGGUGGAGGCGCAGAACUAGGCAACGAGCAACGGCGGCCGCAGCAGCAGCAGCAGCAGCUGAAGAAACGGGAGCUGCUCCCGUUCCUCCCUCUUUGCUGGACCGCGCUUCGCUUUGGGCUCUUCUGGAAGGGCGCCGGGCGAGGAAGGCGGCUGAGAGUCCAAUAAUGCAAUGGCUGAAGAACAAGGGUGUUUCAGAGUAGCUGGAUGGAUGUCUUGGAUUUUAAUUGUAACUCUGACGAUUUGGAGUGAUCGUGGUAACGGACAAGGUCAAGGUAAAUGGAAGGAUUUUAUUAUUGAGAGGAAAUAUGAAUGUCGUUUGGCUUAUUCCGCAGGUGUUC
RNAcentral lists this long non-coding RNA (607 nucleotides) under Podarcis muralis (Common wall lizard). RNAcentral describes it as "lncRNA (ENSPMRG00000001493.1)". The record is from RNAcentral. Lineage: Eukaryota; Metazoa; Chordata; Lepidosauria; Squamata; Lacertidae.